RNAcentral lists this long non-coding RNA (959 nucleotides) under Oryctolagus cuniculus (rabbit). RNAcentral describes it as "lncRNA (ENSOCUG00000032473.1)". Lineage: Eukaryota; Metazoa; Chordata; Mammalia; Lagomorpha; Leporidae. The record is from RNAcentral.
UCUUCCCGCGGCGACGCCCAGGCCACCAAGGCCGGAGCGCACUUGGAACGCGAGCGGGAGCCUGAGACGCCCGGACCAACGUCUCAGAGCUGGGCCCUACGCAGCCUGCGAAGUUUCCGGCCCAUGGGACGGACGCGCCCGAAUGGUCGAGAGGAGCAAACUUGGCGCUCGCACACUCAGAGAGACACCCCACACCGUGGACCACACACCAACUGCAGCCCAGCACGGCUCCGCUAGUGUCUGAGUUACGGAGAGAAAGCGAGCAUGGUCCCUGCCACCCGGUGUCCCGGUGUCCCCUCCGGGGAGUCCUCAUUUCUGACAUGCUGGACGGGAGCCCACACUGCCUUCCUCGCCAGCACUCUUGGUCCCCAGGCUCCAGCUCUCCAGCUGGCUUCAAGGGAUUGGAGCAGCCAGCACUCGUCCUCCUUCCUUCAGGACUCCAACUCAGAGCCUGCCUCUUCCAAGAAACUCGCUCUGUUAAGCCUCCAGAGCCCUGCCCUGCACAACUCAAGGAGACAGACUGAUCUCCAGUCAUGCUGCUUUAAUCCUGAGAUGGAGCAAAAAAAUGUAUAUUUUAUAAGCGAAAUGCUGCAUUUGCGCUACAUAAAGAAGUCCUUGCCUUUGUUCAGAGGAAGGAAAUGGUGAGUGGGGUGAGCACUUGGUUCAGCUGUUAGGUGCCCUCUUGGGAUGCCCACAUCCAUACAGGAGUGCCCGGUUCCAGUCCCAGCUGUGCUUCCAAUCCAGCCUCUUCUAAUGUGCACCCUUGGAGGCAGCUGGCUCAAGUGUUUGGACCCCUGCCUCCGACAUGGGACACUGAGAUUGGGUUCCAGGCACCUGGCUGCUACCUGACCACUGCAGUCCCAGCUGUUGCAGAUGUUUGGGAAGCGAGCCAGUAAGUGACACAUUCUCUCUCUCUCUCUCUCAAUAAACGUGAUAAUAAAUAAAUAAAAAGUUUUUUU